This 543-nucleotide ribosomal RNA is filed under the name uncultured Nitrososphaerota archaeon. RNAcentral describes it as "uncultured thaumarchaeote partial 16S ribosomal RNA". The record is from RNAcentral. Lineage: Archaea; Thermoproteati; Nitrososphaerota.
UACAACGCACUACCUGUUCAUUGUAGUCGUUGCUGUCAACAGCACACUCCUCACCAUCAACGCAGAGGACUACAUCUUCUAAACAGCCUGGGCGUGGACGUCAUUCGUUGUGUUCUAGGUGUCGUCGUCAACGAUGUUUGCUGUAGGCAAACUUUGGUCAAGUUUGUGCCCAGGUGUUCCGGUAACUGCAACCUAUUACGCGCAUAUCAGGUCAAUCGACCCUUGGGGCCCUCAGGCCACUGGUUCUUGUCUUGGUUGCCCCUACUGGUUUGGCGGAACAGACGGAACAAGCACACUGCCAUACUGAUUGGCGGUGCGCUGGUCGGCCUAUCCUUCCCGCUGUUCUACAUGGUCAACCUGUUGCUUGUAAGGGACCCUCUCGAGAUAGCCUUCAAGUAUCCGAGACCGACUCUGCCCGCGUACAUGACGCCUAUAGGGCCUCAGGUAGGGAAGUUCUACAACUCGCCUGUCGCCCUGGGGUCAGGUGCCGGUGCAGUGCUAACGGUGCCCAUCGCAGCGUUGGGUGCAAAACUAAACACGUGG